UGAGGAAUAUUGGUCAAUGGUCGGGAGACUGAACCAGCCAAGCCGCGUGAGGGAUGAAGGUGCUAAGCAUUGUAAACCUCUUUUGUCAGGGAACAAAGGCAUCCACGAGUGGAUGUGUGAGUGUACCUGAAGAAAAAGCAUCGGCUAACUCCGUGCCAGCAGCCGCGGUAAUACGGAGGAUGCGAGCGUUAUCCGGAUUUAUUGGGUUUAAAGGGUGCGUAGGCGGCCUGUUAAGUCAGCGGUAAAAGCCCGGGGCUCAACCCGGCGAGCGUUGAAACUGGCUGGCUGGAGUUGGCGAGAGGUAUGCGGAAUGCGCGGUGUAGCGGUGAAAUGCUUAGAUAUCGCGCAGAACUCCGAUUGCGAAGGCAGCAUGCCGGCGCCACACUGACGCUGAGGCACGAAAGCGCGGGUAUCGAACAGGAUUAGAUACC
This 431-nucleotide ribosomal RNA is filed under the name uncultured bacterium. RNAcentral describes it as "bacterial SSU rRNA". It matches the Rfam family "Bacterial small subunit ribosomal RNA", at positions 355 to 786 of the family's 1533-position model. The record is from RNAcentral.